Molecule: transfer RNA, 62 nt
Filed under: Rhagophthalminae sp. GENSP01
Lineage: Eukaryota; Metazoa; Arthropoda; Insecta; Coleoptera; Rhagophthalmidae
Description: tRNA-Thr
Source: RNAcentral
GUUUUAAUAAUUUAUAAAAAUAUUGGUUUUGUAAACCAAAAAAAAAGAAAACUUUUAAAACU